RNAcentral lists this ribosomal RNA (407 nucleotides) under uncultured eukaryote. Its description in RNAcentral is "bacterial LSU rRNA". It matches the Rfam family "Bacterial large subunit ribosomal RNA", at positions 2077 to 2483 of the family's 2925-position model. The record is from RNAcentral.
UGGACAGAAAGACCCUAUGAAGCUUUACUGUAACCUGAAAUUGAAAUUGGACUUUAGUCGCGCAGCAUAGGUGGGAGGCUUUGACGAUACUCUUGCGGGAGUAUUUGAGCUAUCAGUGAGAUACCACUCUUCUAAUGUUAGAUUUCUAACUUUGAAUCAUUAUCUGGUCAAAGAACAGUUUCAGGCGGGCAGUUUGACUGGGGCGGUCGCCUCCCAAAUGGUAACGGAGGCGUACAAAGGUUUCCUCUGAACGGGUAGAAAUCGUAUCUAGAGUGUAAAGGCAUAAGGAAGCUUGACUGUGAGACCUACAAGUCGAACAGGGACGAAAGUCGGUCUUAGUGACCUGACGGUACUGAGUGGAAAGGCCGUCACUCAACGGAUAAAAGUUACUCUAGGGAUAACAGGCU